GUCUCUUCGGGCAUCCGAUAAAAUUGGAACGAUAUAGAGAAGAUUAGCCUGGCUCCUUUGCAAGGAUGACGCGCACAAAUCGAGAAAUUGUCUAAGCUUUU
This is a small nuclear RNA of Arabis alpina (gray rockcress), 101 nucleotides long. The record is from Rfam. NCBI's taxonomy places the organism in Eukaryota, Viridiplantae, Streptophyta, Magnoliopsida, Brassicales, Brassicaceae.